CCUACGGGAGGCAGCAGUCGGGAAUCUUGCGCAAUGGAGGAAACUCUGACGCAGUGACGCCGCGUGCAGGAAGCAGGUUUUCGGAUUGUAAACUGCUUUAGACAGGGAAGAAAAAAGACAGUACCUGUAGAAUCAGCUCCGGCUAACUACGUGCCAGCAGCCGCGGUAAUACGUAGGGAGCAAGCGUUAUCCGGAUUUAUUGGGUGUAAAGGGUGCGUAGACGGAGAAGCAAGUUAGUUGUGAAAUCCCUCGGCUUAACUGAGGAACUGCAACUAAAACUACUUCCCUUGAGUACUGGAGAGGAAAGUGGAAUUCCUAGUGUAGCGGUGAAAUGCGUAGAUAUUAGGAGGAACACCGAUUGCGAAGGCAGCUCACUGGACUGCAACUGACACUGAGGCUCGAAAGUGUGGGUAUCAAACAGGAUUAGAUACCCGGGUAGUC
RNAcentral lists this ribosomal RNA (441 nucleotides) under uncultured bacterium. RNAcentral's name for it is "partial 16S ribosomal RNA". It matches the Rfam family "Bacterial small subunit ribosomal RNA", at positions 338 to 795 of the family's 1533-position model. The record is from RNAcentral.